AAAAGAGGUUUCAAGAGAAAGAAAGAAUGGGUUGUCCACUACAGCUGAAGCAAGGAAGUAAGAAAUAG
This 68-nucleotide long non-coding RNA is filed under the name Numida meleagris (helmeted guineafowl). Its description in RNAcentral is "lncRNA (ENSNMEG00000000161.1)". The record is from RNAcentral. Lineage: Eukaryota; Metazoa; Chordata; Aves; Galliformes; Numididae.